This 580-nucleotide ribosomal RNA is filed under the name uncultured rumen bacterium. RNAcentral describes it as "bacterial SSU rRNA". It matches the Rfam family "Bacterial small subunit ribosomal RNA", at positions 163 to 730 of the family's 1533-position model. The record is from RNAcentral.
CUAAUACCGUAUAACAAUGACAACCGCAUGGUUGUUAUUUAAAAGAUGGUUCUGCUAUCACUAAGAGAUGGUCCCGCGGUGCAUUAGCUAGUUGGUAAGGUAAUGGCUUACCAAGGCGAUGAUGCAUAGCCGAGUUGAGAGACUGAUCGGCCACAAUGGGACUGAGACACGGCCCAUACUCCUACGGGAGGCAGCAGUAGGGAAUCUUCCACAAUGGGCGAAAGCCUGAUGGAGCAACGCCGCGUGUGUGAUGAAGGGUUUCGGCUCGUAAAACACUGUUGUAAGAGAAGAAUGACAUUGAGAGUAACUGUUCAAUGUGUGACGGUAUCUUACCAGAAAGGAACGGCUAAAUACGUGCCAGCAGCCGCGGUAAUACGUAUGUUCCAAGCGUUAUCCGGAUUUAUUGGGCGUAAAGCGAGCGCAGACGGUUAUUUAAGUCUGAAGUGAAAGCCCUCAGCUCAACUGAGGAAUUGCUUUGGAAACUGGAUGACUUGAGUGCAGUAGAGGAAAGUGGAACUCCAUGUGUAGCGGUGAAAUGCGUAGAUAUAUGGAAGAACACCAGUGGCGAAGGCGGCUUUCU